UGGGGAAUCUUCCGCAAUGGACGAAAGUCUGACGGAGCAACGCCGCGUGAGUGAUGAAGGUCUUCGGAUUGUAAAGCUCUGUUAAUCGGGACGAAAGAGCCUAGUGUGAAUAAUGCUAGGAAGUGACGGUACCGGAAUAGAAAGCCACGGCUAACUACGUGCCAGCAGCCGCGGUAAUACGUAGGUGGCAAGCGUUGUCCGGAAUUAUUGGGCGUAAAGCGCGCGCAGGCGGAUCUGCCAGUCUGUCUUAAAAGUUUGGGGCUUAACCCCGUGAUGGGAUGGAAACUACAGAUCUAGAGUAUCGGAGAGGAAAGUGGAAUUCCUAGUGUAGCGGUGAAAUGCGUAGAUAUUAGGAAGAACACCAGUGGCGAAGGCGACUUUCUGGACGAAAACUGACGCUGAGGCGCGAAAGCCAGGGGAGCGAACGG
RNAcentral lists this ribosomal RNA (428 nucleotides) under uncultured bacterium. RNAcentral describes it as "bacterial SSU rRNA". It matches the Rfam family "Bacterial small subunit ribosomal RNA", at positions 355 to 775 of the family's 1533-position model. The record is from RNAcentral.